UGCGUAACACGUAUAUAAUCUGCCCACAUCUGGGAAAUAGCCCGGAGAAAUUCGGAUUAAUGUCCCAUAACAUUAUUGGAAGGCAUCUUUUGAUAAUUAAAGCUCAGGCGGAUGUGGACGAAUAUGCGACUGAUUAGCUAGUUGGUAAGGUAACGGCUUACCAAGGCUACGAUCAGUAGGGGUACUGAGAGGUUAAACCCCCACACUGGUACUGAGACACGGACCAG
This 227-nucleotide ribosomal RNA is filed under the name uncultured bacterium. Its description in RNAcentral is "partial 16S ribosomal RNA". It matches the Rfam family "Bacterial small subunit ribosomal RNA", at positions 107 to 334 of the family's 1533-position model. The record is from RNAcentral.